GUGUGUGUGUGUGUGUGUGUGUGUGUGUGCGCGUGUGUGCUGGACUCCUCUCUUUGGGGCUCCUCCUGGGCUGGGGGGCUGGGUGAGGAGGCCUUAGAGGUUGGCGGGCUUUCGCCCUGGGCUCGCGGUGCCCCUGCCUUGGCCAGGCCUCUGCUUUCUGGCGGGAUGCCCAAAGCGCAGGUCGGUCCCUGUUAUUCCGCUGCUCCAAGAACCCUGCUGGCUCUGCAGAACUUUCGGGAUCAAAUACAAGCUCUUGUUCGAGGCAGGUCAGAGGAAUUCCCUCCCUCCCUGGAAGAGGAUACUGAGCAACUCUGGGCAUAUAUCCAAGACGUGAUGGAGAACUUCCCAAGAUUUGUCAAGCCUCAUGGCUACUACCCUCUCCCAGGGAUAUUGCCAGAGGAAACUGAAAAAGCAGUGCCAAGGAUUUUGAAGUCCUGGCAACUCUGUUAUAUCCUCAUAUUCCAGUUGAAGAAACUGAGGCAGACAGAAGCAAAGUAACUUGUACAGAAUUUAACAGCUACUAAGAACCUGAAGGUGAUUUGAACUCAAGUCUUCUGGUCCAGCAUUUUAUCCACUGCACUGCCUGGUUAUAUGAUUUAUUAAUAAAAGUGAAUGAAGAGU
Long non-coding RNA from Monodelphis domestica (gray short-tailed opossum), 621 nucleotides. RefSeq lists it as uncharacterized. The record is from RefSeq and is a predicted model, not a curated record. NCBI's taxonomy places the organism in Eukaryota, Metazoa, Chordata, Mammalia, Didelphimorphia, Didelphidae.